AGUGAACGCUGGCGGUAGGCCUAACACAUGCAAGUCGAACGGCAGCACAGUAAGAGCUUGCUCUUACGGGUGGCGAGUGGCGGACGGGUGAGGAAUACAUCGGAAUCUACUUUUUCGUGGGGGAUAACGUAGGGAAACUUACGCUAAUACCGCAUACGACCUACGGGUGAAAUCAGGGGAUCUUCGGACCUUGCGCGAUUGAAUGAGCCGAUGUCGGAUUAGCUAGUUGGCGGGGUAAAGGCCCACCAAGGCGACGAUCCGUAGCUGGUCUGAGAGGAUGAUCAGCCACACUGGAACUGAGACACGGCCCAGACUCCUACGGGAGGCAGCAGUGGGGAAUAUUGGACAAUGGGCGAAAGCCUGAUCCAGCAAUACCGCGUGGGUGAAGAAGGCCUUCGGGUUGUAAAGCCCUUUUGUUGGGAAAGAAAAGCAGCAGGUUAAUACCACGCUGUUCUGACGGUACCCAAAGAAUAAGCACCGGCUAACUUCGUG
This 492-nucleotide ribosomal RNA is filed under the name uncultured bacterium. RNAcentral's name for it is "partial 16S ribosomal RNA". It matches the Rfam family "Bacterial small subunit ribosomal RNA", at positions 29 to 507 of the family's 1533-position model. The record is from RNAcentral.